ACGGAAGGCAGCAGUGGGGAAUAUUGCACAAUGGGCGAAAGCCUGAUGCAGCGACGCCGCGUGAGUGAAGAAGUAUCUCGGUAUGUAAAGCUCUAUCAGCAGGGAAGAAAAUGACGGUACCUGACUAAGAAGCCCCGGCUAACUACGUGCCAGCAGCCGCGGUAAUACGUAGGGGGCAAGCGUUAUCCGGAUUUACUGGGUGUAAAGGGAGCGUAGACGGUUUGGCAAGUCUGAAGUGAAAUGCGGGGGCUCAACUCCUGAACUGCUUUGGAAACUGUCGAACUAGAGUGCAGGAGAGGUAAGUGGAAUUCCUAGUGUAGCGGUGAAAUGCGUAGAUAUUAGGAGGAACACCAGUGGCGAAGGCGGCUUACUGGACUGUAACUGACGUUGAGGCUCGAAAGCGUGGAGAGCAAACAGGAUUAGAUACCCUGGUA
This 434-nucleotide ribosomal RNA is filed under the name uncultured Lachnospiraceae bacterium. RNAcentral describes it as "partial 16S ribosomal RNA". It matches the Rfam family "Bacterial small subunit ribosomal RNA", at positions 341 to 792 of the family's 1533-position model. The record is from RNAcentral. Lineage: Bacteria; Bacillati; Bacillota; Clostridia; Lachnospirales; Lachnospiraceae.